This 1573-nucleotide unclassified non-coding RNA is filed under the name Hevea brasiliensis (rubber tree). The record is from RNAcentral. Lineage: Eukaryota; Viridiplantae; Streptophyta; Magnoliopsida; Malpighiales; Euphorbiaceae.
AUCACACGCCACCGAACAACCUAUCUUUUGAUGUAUCAUACGAGAUACAAACACAGGUCCAUAGACCCUAAUACACCUCAACCACACAUUUACAACAUGUAAUAACAAAAAAGAUUAAAAAUUAAGAAAGUGAACGUGACGUAAUAAGAUUCGUCACAGUCCGUCUACCUUUUAACACGUGUUCGUAGCGUCACCUCACAGUCACGUUUCUCUACACUCUACUUCACUUCUCUAUUCUAUUCUGCCCUUUCCCUUUCUCUUUCUCUAUGUGAACUGCAUCGUGAUCAGCAUCCAAACCCACUCAUCUCCUUACACGUGUACUUUUAACAGAAAAAAAUCGCGGGUGCAGGAUUUGGUAUAUAUUUUGGAUCUACCUCCACAAUAAGCAUCUUGGUUCUCGAUUCUCAGCAUCUCUUAUCAGAUCCCAUAACCCAGUUGCCUCAUCUGACGGCUCACCUUCCAUCUCAAUUUCCCUUAUAUACCCAUUAUGUCUCCUCCAUUUUUCAUCCACACAACCUGAAUGCAACACUGCAACCAUUCCGUAACACCCAUCAAAAACAACCAUGAACGUCUUGGAUUCUCCUCUUGAAGCUUUGGCUUUUGAUUAUGUAAGCUUUGGGAUCUUUGCUGUUGUCAAUAAUCUAUGGACGUGGGUCGCUCUUGUCAUGGCAGCUGUCAGCUUCUGGAGGAUCAGAAACGCCGGUGCCGUUGCACUUUCCGGCAAAUCGGAGACACUUUCUUCAGCUACUUGUAUUGACGGGCUCCGGAACGUGAAUGAUUCUAAGCAGGUUCUCGAAACAUCGGUACCCGAGCCAGCUACUCAGGCACUGCCACCACAAACGCCAUCAUCUUCAGGCCCAGCUCCAACUGCAUCGGUUUUUGAAGAUGACGGAGUUACCAGAGGGACGAAGUUUGUAAUGUAUUACGAAAAUGAAAGAGAAAGUGACGGGAACGAAGACGACGAGUUAACGGUGGUUGGAGAUCAGUGGGGAUAUGGAAGUGGAAGUGAUGAUUGCUAUGGUGGUGGGUUGGGAGAGUGGUGGGAGAGAGUGAUAAGGAUGAGAAAGGGGGAUAUGGGAUGGUACAUGUACCAGGAUUUGACGGCGAUAAACGGCAACGUCGUUAGAUUAUGGGAUGGAAAAAACAAGCACUCGUCAAGCUGCGGUGUAUGGUAAAUUGGUAAUGGUAGCCGUUGGUGAUAAUAGAAGCUUAUUAUGAAAUGUAAAUAUAUUAAUUUUGAGUUGCAGAAAUGUUGUACACCAAAACAAUUGCUUAAUGUUGCAUUUUUGCCUAAUUUGCUGUGAUUUGAUUACUGAUUUUGGCCAUUUUACAGCUGCAAAUGUAUGUGCAAGAGAAACCCAUAAGACAUAAUAAUGUGAUAUAUACCAUACAUCUGUUAUCUUAGAUCUACAGUGAAAGAGCAAAGAAAACAUCAGUGUCUUCUUAAGUUUUAGGAUAAUGGUGUCACUAUUUGUAUAAUUUGAUUGCGUGACGAAAGCUUGUGAUGUAACCAAGAGUAGAAGAUUAGUUUCAGACUUUCAGUCCGGCUUAGCUACUGGCAAGUUGUUCUGAA